GAUGAACGCUGGCGGCGUGCCUAAUACAUGCAAGUCGAGCGAACGGACGAGAAGCUUGCUUCUCUGAUGUUAGCGGCGGACGGGUGAGUAACACGUGGAUAACCUACCUAUAAGACUGGGAUAACUUCGGGAAACCGGAGCUAAUACCGGAUAAUAUUAUGAACCGCAUGGUUCAAAAGUGAAAGACGGUCUUGCUGUCACUUAUAGAUGGAUCCGCGCUGCAUUAGCUAGUUGGUAAGGUAACGGCUUACCAAGGCAACGAUGCAUAGCCGACCUGAGAGGGUGAUCGGCCACACGGGAACUGAGAAACGGUCCAGACUCCUACGGGAGGCAGCAGUAGGGAAUUUUCCGCAAUGGGCGAAAGCCUGACGGAGCAACGCCGCGUGAGUGAUGAAGGUCUUCGGAUCGUAAAACUCUGUUAUUAGGGAAGAACAUAUGUGUAAGUAACUGUGCACAUCUUGACGGUACCUAAUCAGAAAGCCACGGCUAACUACGUG
RNAcentral lists this ribosomal RNA (497 nucleotides) under uncultured bacterium. RNAcentral's name for it is "partial 16S ribosomal RNA". It matches the Rfam family "Bacterial small subunit ribosomal RNA", at positions 28 to 507 of the family's 1533-position model. The record is from RNAcentral.